AAACGGGUACCAUCAGCCGUGGACGCCGACGCCGCAAGUGCGCAACCCUGUCCGGAGCGCUGCCGCCGCCGACCGCCGCCAUGGGCAUUACACGACGGGCUUCUCUGUUCUCCUUGGUGCCACCGUCAGCUGGUUGCUUCAUUUUUAGUUAUAUCGAGACCCGAAUUACUUAUCUUUAGACAGUUGCUGUAGAUUCCGAGAUGCAUGCAAAGCAAUAUAUCACGAACGAUUUAGAUUGAAGAAAGGUCAAUCAGGCGAUUUGUAGAUCAAAACUUCAAAAGGGUUAAUUAUUAGGCUGAGUCAUGUAAGUUAAUGCCAUCAGAAGAUGUAAAAAAAG
Molecule: long non-coding RNA, 337 nt
Filed under: Hordeum vulgare
Lineage: Eukaryota; Viridiplantae; Streptophyta; Magnoliopsida; Poales; Poaceae
Description: long non-coding RNA (HVUL_LNC017402)
Source: RNAcentral